UUCCAUAUACAGAAACCUAAGUUCAUUCAUACAGCACCUCUGACUGAGGCAAUGAUCACAUUAUGGCGUAAAACCACUAUAACUUGUACAUGAUAAAACUAACCCAAUAAUAUUAGUCCACAAUAAAUAUUAGAAAAAAAAAAUUCUUUAUAAUGUCAUUGAUCUAUCACUUAAUCACCUGAGUGCCGAAGGCACAAGUCACUGAAAUAAAUAAGCCAUUUGAAUUUAAACAAAUAUCUUUCAAAUUGAAACAAACAUUAACUUAUUGAUAAAUAAAUAUGGAUCAUGAAGUAGCAUGAACACAAGGAUGAUCAUACAACUUAUGCCUUGUGCUCGUGUUGAGGUGAUGCUUCCUUACAUAGUUACUUCUUCUUCUCCCUUAAAUAAGGGUUUGACGUAACGUACAUUUGCCAUAUAAUACUUCCAGAACUCAAAAAGAUCAUCUUUCUUAGCAUCUGUUAUAAUAAAUUAUUUAUCCAUUAAAACCAAUAUAGAAAAAUAAAAAAUACAAAGUGACAAACACAAAUACAAAUCAAAAUUCUCUUCAAUUAAUUGUAUAUAGACGCAACUAUUUUUAAGAUUUGGGAAUCAUAUGGACACCUUACCCUGUACCUAGAGCUAUAUCAUGUCUUAUAAUCAACCUCAUAAAAAAUUAUUUACACCUAACCUCACCCAAAACCUUCAAAUUUUUUGUCUUUACGGUUUUUUUUUUUUUUUUUUGUCAUGAAUUUAUUGUCUCCUUCGUCUCCUCCACCAACACAAAAGCCUUACGUAUAGAGCUUUUUCACUCUUUCCAACCAUGGAAAAAACAAACUCAUCUAACAAAUAAACAAACAUAUUUAUAACAAAGCCAAACCGAAAAAAGAACAAAUUAGACAAUUAGGGUUUCAAUACACUUGGGAGGGAAAUCAGAAGAGAGAGAACUCACAAGUCGGAAAAUAGAAAGAGGAAGGAGGUAUGUGGAGAAGAGAUUAGUAGGGAGAGACAAUUCUAGACAAAACUGUAACUAAACUUCGGUGGCUCUUAGCACCUUGGCCACCCCAAAGUCUGCAUUAUUGGGUGGGGCCGUGGGGAUAACAUUUUGGAUAGCUCUUGGUAGUUGGUAUGACUUCCUUAAAAUUCUUGGGAAAAUUUGUUUGGAGAUUUACCUAAGGUGGUGUUUGAUAACACGAUUUUCCUGUGGCAAACGCGAUUUUGCCCGCUUUUUUUCAUUUGCUCGCGUUUGAUAACCUAGUCGGAUUAUUCGGCAAAAUUUGCCUGAACACCCUCACGUGCCUCUAUUUUCCCGCAUUAAAGCGGACAAAUUUUGCCUAGCCCCCCCCAGGCAAAAUUUGCUUUGCCACUUAACCCUCUACAAUUUGCCAAGUAUAUAUUACAUUUUUGCCAAAAAAAACCCUACUCAAAGAAGAAAAAACCCUAACCUUCGAAGCUCUUUAAUGGCGGCACAGUAGAUGCGAUUUUCAAGACGACGGACAUUUCGAACCCUAAAACAGGUAACUUUCUUCUUCUUCUUGUUUAUCUUCUUCAAUGAAUUCAUCUUCUUCAAUGAAUUCAUCUUCUUCUUCUUUUCGAUCUGUUUGGGUAAAGUUCGAUCUGUUGAAAGUUCGAUCUGUUUAAAGUUCGAUUUGUUUAAGUUCGAACUUUAAAGUUCGAUCUGAUUAAGUUCGAUCUGAUUAAAGUUCGAUCUGAUUAAGUUCGAUCUGAUUAAAGUUCGAUCUGAUUAAAGUUCGAUCUGAUUAAAGUUCGAUCUGUUUAAGUUCGAUCUGUUUAAGUUCGAUCUUUAAGUUCGAUCUUUAAGUUUGAUCUGUUAAGUUCGAUCUGUUAAGUUCGAUCAAGUUCGAUCUGUUAAGUUCGAUCUGUUAAAGUUCGAUCUGUUUAAAGUUCGAUCUGUUAAAGUUCGAUCUGUUAAAGUUCGAUCUGUUAAAGUUCGAUCUGUUAAAGUUCGAUCUGUUAAAGUUUAAUCAAAAGGUAAUUUAUUCUCAUUUCUUUGAUUAAUUAUCUCUGUAUAUAUAUAUAUAUAUUACUUUGAUUACAUAAUAUUGUAUCACACAAGGUUUUGAACUUAAUCCUGUAUGCAUUAAACAAGAGACACAAUCCCUUACACUGCAAUCUGCACACACUAGGUUUUGAUCAGGUCAAAAAACUAAUGUAAAUUGUUGUUUUUAACUAGUCACAAUGUCAACAUAUUCGGCAAUGCAACUAUAAGCGGGUGAUUAUAUGCGAAACCAGUGCAUUGUAAUCUAGUCAAGACCAUAAUAAUCUGUUUAGUAUACAUAUUGAUGACAAUUUAAUUGCAGUCAUCAUGAAUACUAGACUUGAGUAGUAUUGAGUCUCAAAAUUUGUUUUAUAAGUCAGCUGAACGAUAAUAUCGAUAUAUAGAUUUGAUAAUUCUCUUUGAUCCAUUGAUCUAACUUCUUUGUACUGGGGAUGGAGUUGUGACUUUAUUUAUCUCACACUUUCUUUCUAAAAGGAAGUAUUGUUUCCGAAAGAAGUAAACAUUGACGUCUCUCGUAGGGUAGAAAACUGUAAUAGCAUUGGGCUAUUGGCACAGUGUCCUCUCUUUUGAAUAAAACUUUGAACUUCAAAACUCGGGAGGGUGUAGGGACACCAGGUCACCACCAUCACUGUAAAUAUAUAGAUAUACUAAAUUACUUAUCGAUUAAAUUUCGAUCUGUUAAAAGGUUGAACAGAUCUGAACAAAUUGAACAAAUCUGAACAGUUUGAACAAAUCUGUUCAAUUGUCAAGUUAUUAUUGAUGCCUAUAUUCUAUGUUGAUAAUAUCUGAUGAAUGUUUAUGUGUGGUUUUGUCACACUGAAUUUUCUUUUGCAGACCAGUAUCUUUUGCAGACCAGUAUUGUUUAAACAUCAGCUCAAGAAGGUAUGAUUUGAUUUGAGGUUUUUCGGUUUUUUUUUUUUGUAAAAAUUGUAUGCAGUAGUGAUGUAUGAUAUUAUUUGGCAGCUUCGCUCUCUCUUGUCCUUCGAUUUCUCCCUUUCGCUCGUGUUUGUCUUUCUCUACUCAUUUGCUUUUCAAGGUUGGUUAUUUCUUUUACCAUGUAUUCGUUUCUAUUAUAACGCAUGUUUAGUUGGGAUUAGAAAACAUGUUGGGAUCGGCAUUAGGUAUCUAUAUAUGCAGUAGGUAUCUACCAUGUAUCAGUUGGGAUUCCAAUGGCAUGUUUGAAUAAUUAAUAAGUGAUGUUUAUGAAUAGAGGUUUUGUUUUUAUUAUAUAAUCAUGUUUUCAAGUUUCAAUAUAGAUUGUUUUUGUCAUCUAUAGAUUGUCAUUUGUUUACAUACAAAUAAUAGUACAUACUAGUAUCCUGAUUAGUUUGUACACACAACGUAAGAUUUUAUGUUAAUUCCUACACACAUACAGAUUAAUGAUUGUAUUAGUUGUUUCUAUAAUUAAACACAUAGUACAGACUAGACUAGUAACUUGAUUAGUUGUGAGAAUUAUAUAUUAUACGAAAUAAGUUGAUGUAAUGGUAACUCAUAAUGUUAACAAAAUCUGUAGUUAAAUAAAAAUUGAAAUCUGAAAAUAAAUUGAAAGCUGAAAAUAAAUUGAAAGCUGAUAUAUAUAAAGUCAUUAUGUUGAAAACAUCUAAUUACCACUUUUCAGAGAAUGGGUAAAUAUUCCUAUUAUGUUGUGCGUCGUGGGUUCUGUCCGGGUAUCUACAGAACUUGGGAGGAGUGCAAGUCACAGACGGACGGCUUUAGCAACGCUGACUGGCGUGGUGCUUAUACCAUUGCUGAAGCAAGGCAUAUGCUUCAGCAACAUCUUACAAAUGGUUUCUGUCAACCUUCUGGCCUUAUGUGUGAUCCCAAUCAUCUUAUGUCCCAGUCUUACAUUCCUGCGCCAGAACCGUCUGAACAUUCUGGUCAAUCUUACCAAUCCGCCGCUCAAUCUCAAGCACCUCUAUCUCCACUAGUCAGUCAUCGGCCCUUAAACAAUGUUGUUGUGGUGGACGACUUUUGGUGGUGGGUCAAGAAGUUGGUGUUGGUUAUGUUGGUUGUUGUUAUUGCAUUGUUAAUUAAAUUGUUAUUUGUCUUGUGAGAUUUAUGUAAAAAGUGAAAUUGAUGAUGUAAAUUAUUAACCAGUUUUUCUAAUAAUUUUUCAUUUAAAAAGCACUCUUACGCAUUCAUACACUACUAACAAUUAAAAUUAUUAACCAAAUAAACUUACCACAUGUUCUGUAGAAUGCCUACCGAGGAUGAACGUAUCGUUGCAGCUACGAUUGUAAUUGUAGCUGUCGAUUGGUUAAUGCACUAUAUUGGAACGAGACGUGAACGUGUUCCUAGAGGUCCUAGGGCUCCCUAUACCUAUAAUAGAGAUUCGUCGCGUGGGUGAACCUUAGCCCGGUUCUACACCGAUAACGACAACGAUUGCCAUGACCAAUUGAGGAUGAGGCGUUUUGCAUUCCAUCGGUUAUGUGCUAGGUUGAAGACUUUGGGUUUAUCCGACUCUCGGUAUGUGUCAGUUGAAGAACAAGUUGCAAUGUUCUUGCUCAUAGUCGGCCACGACAAUCGGUGUAGAAGAACACGUCACGAGUUUAGGCGUUCUGGACAAACCGUGAGCCAUUACUUCCACUUGGUUUUGAAUGCUUGUCUAAAAUUGUAUAGGCAAGUGGUUGUCAACGCCACGGCUGAGAACUCACCCCUCAAUGACGGUCCUGGGGAUGUCUUUUGGCAUCAAUAUUUCAAGGUACGAAAAAUUAUUUCGUAUUUUAUCAUCUUCUUAUAGGUACGAAAAACUCUUUCGUAUUUUUCUGACCAAGUAAAUUGUUAAUUAGGACGCUGUAGGCGCAAUCGAUGGUACCCACUUCCCCACCUUAGUGCCCCUUGAUGAUCAACCGAGGUAUCGUAAUCGGAAAGGAGUGAUAUCCCAGAAUGUUCUAAUUGGAUGUACGUUCGACAUGAGAUUCACUUACGUUCUAGCUGGGUGGGAAGGGUCGGCGCAUGAUGGCCGGUUGUUGAGAUGUGCGGUUACUCGUGAAGGUAGGAGAUUAACCUUGCCCCCUGGUAAGUAUUACCUUGCGGAUGCUGGCUUUGCAUUAAGUCCCGGCUUCCUCACACCUUAUCGUGGGGUUCGAUACCAUCUCAAAGAACAAGGACAUCGGGCUGUUGAAACUGAUGAAGAACUGUACAACUGUCGGCAUUCCAGGCUACGUAAUGUUGUGGAGAGGAUCAUAGGGGUGUUGAAGAAACGUUUCGCUUAUUUGAGGAAGGCACCAUUCCAUGAUGUGAAGACACACACAAAGAUAAUAUUGGCGUGUUGUGCAAUUCACAACUUCCUCAAAGAUAUCGAUCCAGCUGAUGUAGUGGAACCUGAUUUAGAGGAACCCGAAGAACCCGUUCCCCCCGAGGCAGAUAAUGCGCAAGGCGGUGGAAUACUCAUAUCCGCAUCACGGUCUUGGAGUAAGUGGCGUGAUGACUUGAAGAAGGAAAUGUGGACUAAUUAUCAGAAUUACCAUGAGCUGGAAUAGCUUUGAGGUUUCGUUGAUUUUAUUAGGGUUGUGAGUGUGGUAGUGUUGUGCUUGAGUAUUUGAUGAGUUGUUUGAAAUAAUUUGUUUGGGUUGUUUGAAAUAAGUUCGAAUAAUGGAAGAGGUAAUUUGCCAAUAAUUGUAAUAAGUUGGAAUAAUUUGUGGUUUGGACUAUUUGAUAGUGUUAUGAGCGAGAUUAUGUUUGGAUGUUCCAUUUGGAUAAGUUGUUUGGAAUAAUACGCUUGUAUACGCUUGUGUAUGGUUCAUAUCUGUGUAUAACUGUGAGUGUGGGAUGAUUAGGUACAACUAUGUCGAACGGACAGUUCAAGAAGCCUAGAAAGACCAGGAAGGGCAAUGGACAAGAUUCAGCGGACCCUUACUUCCCAACUGACAAGCCAGUUAAGUGCCACAUAAGGUGGACCAAACAAAUGGAAGAGGUGAUGUUGAACACUUUGUAUGAAGAAGUGUUGAGAAACGGUAAAAGAGCUGACAGUGGCUUAAGAACCGAAUCAUUGAAAGCAGCUGCAGAUGGUGUCAAUUCAGCCCUCCGUAUGAAUGUUAGUUCUGAACAUGUACGGACUCGCCUGAAGACACUUAGGAAGGACUACAAGAUUGUAAAGGAACUUCUGGAUUUGUCUGGUUUGGGAUUUACUUUUGACACCGAAAACAAGACUGUUAUUGCUGCAGAUGAGGAUGUUUGGGAACGGUACUUUGUGGUAAGGCACAUUUGUUUAUGAGUUUGGUAAUUGUUGGGUCGUAAACUUGACAAAAUGAUUAACACAAGUGUGCUUUGUAGGCUCAUCCUGAAUCACGUAAUGUUCGUGGGAAGCAUUUUCCAUACUUUGAACAAUUGAGCCUCAUCAUCGGCAACGAAACUGCAACUGGUGAAGGAGCAUUCGCAGGUGAUGAAGUUGAUGAUGAACAAGUUGAGGGGUCACCUGCAGGCAGUGGUAAGAUACAGCCCUUUUGUGUUUAUUAAAAUCGUUGUACAUUUUAAUCUGGGGCUGAUUCGUAGAUUGUGAAUGUAUACAAUCGCAGAUGGAUUGGGGGCUGAUUCGUACUUUUACAUGGAUGAUGGUGCCGGUGUUGGAACGUUCGACACAAGUGCAACCGGUGCAUCAAAUAAUGAGAGCUCAAGCAACUGCAGUGAUUCUGCCCCUCGCAUGCACCCAAUUCCACCCCCAGUGCAACCUGUUCAAUCCAAGCGCAAGAAGUCGCGUUUCGGACCCCAGGAACAACCAAGCAACUCUGAGUAUGCACAGGGCAUCAUGGAUGCUGUUAAGACCUUGGCAACGGCAUUUGCUGGUCCGAACAUCGAUGAAUUGUGUGAUGCAAUCAAGGUUGUAAGCAAGGGGGACAGAGUCCUGUAUCUGAAGGGUCUCGACUUUCUAGGUGUCGAGGACAAGCAAGCGAAGAUAUUUCUUGGGAUGGACGCUGAUCUGAGGGCUGAUUGGUUGGUUGAUAAGCUUACCUAUGUUAAGCCUUUCAAUGGGGAUGAGUGGGCUGAUUCGUAGUUGUCUUCAUCUGUCUUGAUGUGUGUCUUGAUAAUCCUUGUAAACUGAUAUGACUGCAUUUUCUUAACUUUGUCUGAACUAGUUAACUUUGUAAGUGGUUUGUAUAAACUAAUGUAAAACAGAUAUGACUUCUUUUCUUAUCUAUCUAUGGUUUGAACUUUUGUUUAUCUGAAUGGCUUGAAUGGUUUAGUCCUGGAAUAUUCUUGUCACUUUUUAUUACUUUGUGUUGUCGAGUUGUGUCGGGUUCCGAAAAUAUAUAUAGAGGAACCAGUUGUAUGUGUGUGAUGUAAACUGACUGCGAUGGAUUGUUCCAGUCAGUGGGAAUGCUUUAGUCCUUAAAUAUUCUUGUCACAUUUUAGUACUUUGUGUUGUCGAGUUGUGUCGAGUUCAGAAUAUAUAUAUAUAUGUUGUAGUUGUAUGUGUCUAAUGUAAACUGACUGCGAUGAAUUAUUUCAGUCAGUGGGAAUGGUGCGAAUUAUUCACACCCCAAAAAAUCCCCGUCUAGGACGGCGUUUGUUCGCGUGGACUCCAGAUACGGACCACACGAUGUGCACUGCUAUGCUGGCAGACGAGACACCAGGUCCACUUAUGGUCCGUCUUAGGUCGGGAAUGGUAAAGGCUUCUGAUGUUUUAAAUCAACACACUAGGCUGGAUUUGUGUGCUGAAAACAUAUGGGCUCGUUUGCGUUAUUUGAAACGUUUGGCGAACCUUAUCAAUGAGUUGUGUGAAGAGCAUCCAGGAUUUCAUUGGGACAAUGAAAGAAGUACGGUGAUUGCAACGGACGAUGACUGGAUUGCCCUUGAGGAAGAGAUACCUGAGUAUUACACACAUAUUAGGAACAUGUAUGUUCCAGCGUACCCGGUGUACUUGGAACUAUCAGCAAAGUAUCGAUUGUAGGCAAAGAGUGUUUGCGUGAGAUUUAAAAAGUGUUUUACAAAAAACUGGAUGUCGGUGGUAACUGUCUUCAUUUGACAUCUAUGAGUAGGUGGUAAUUGUUUUAUGAAAAACAUGUACUGUAUAAUGUUUUGGUAAUAUUAUAAUUUUUAUCAUAUUUUGUAAAGUCAAUGCUUCAUUGUAUUAGAACGUUAUCUGACAUUGUGUUAGGAUUAGAAUCAAACUCAGAUAAUGGUGUGGUGGACUCCUAAGGAAGACGUGAACUUGUGUUUCGCGUGGGUAUCGAUAUACACUUGUCCUCCGGUUAAUCAUGCCGGUACAAGUUAUUGGACAGAUAUUUCGGCUCGUUUCCACGAGAUGGAGGGAGUUGUUGAAAGAAAGGAACUAGGCCACUUAGCUAGUCGAUUUCAAGACAUUUGGGAGUGCACAGAGAUAUUGGUUAGUUUAAUAGACUUCAUCCGCCUAAAACGAACUAUUAUCACUAACGAAGAUGAAAGGAUCCGAGAAGCGUGCAAUUUAUACAAAAUUAACCAAUACGGGCGGUUUGAAUUCCUCCCUUGUUUGCCAAUAAUCGAACCAUUCAUGCAUUGUGACAACCUUGGGUGCGAUGGUUUGAUGAAAAUGCACAAGGGAAUGGGAAACAAUGACAAGCAAUGGGUAUGCUUUGCAAAAUGCGCUAAUCAAGCAUGCCCAGGAAUUAUAUUCUUGUAUCCAUUUCAUGUAUCGCCACCAUCUGGAGGAGACCUUGAGAUGAUUUGUGCGAAAUGUCUUCAAAACCCUUGUCAUGGUGAUUGCGCAAACUAUUGGAAGCACAUUUCUUUACCACCACCUGAAGAUGGUGUUUGUUUGCACUGCUUAGGCAACCCAUGUACGUGGGAUUGUGCCAAUUAUUGUGAUUGUUGUAGUCGUGACUAGACAUUUAUGUUAUAUGUAAGACACAUUUUCAUUUAUUAUGUAAUAUGUAACACACAUUUUCAAAUAGUAUUGUAACUUUCGUUUUGAUAUGAAUUCAGUAAUGGUCGUGAAGUGCUUUGUAUUCCUUAUCAUGUAAUGGUCGUAAAGUGCUUUGUAUUAAUUAUCUUGUGUAUGGAACAUAUUGUAUAACUUACGCCGUUGCGGAUUAACAUUGUCGUGUAACAAAUGGUUGCUUAUAUUUUGUAUGGAACAUUGCUAGUCUAAUUGCAACAAAUUGUUGCUCAUCAUGUGUAGCAUUCUUUACGUAUGUUGAGUAAUACAUUUGUAAACUUAUGGGUAUUGCAAUAUGUGUUACAGAGAACCAAGCAAUGGCGCCCAACUUGAGGCCCAUCAUGAGAGAUAACCCUUUCUGGGUCAAGCAAGUUACAAAGGGACAUGUAACCAAGGGAUGCGUAAUGGUAAGCAAAUUCCUAAUUAUGUAUGGACAUAGAUAAAAUGAUGGGCUUUGGGCUGUUAGUUGGGCCUCGCAGUGAUGGCUAGUAAUGUUGAUAUAUAUGGCAAGAAAUGUGCACAUAUAUAUGGGCUGCUACAUGUGCAGAAAACUGUUUGAUAUGUACUGUUGAUAUAUGGAAUAAUUGUUCGACAGAACUGUUUGAUAUGUGGCUAGUAAUGUUGAUAUAUAUUGUUGAUAUAGGGCAGAAAUUUUAUAUAUACUGUUGAUAUAUGGAAUUGUUGGACAGAACUGUUUGGAUUCAUGGCAGAAAUUUUAUAUAACCAUGCCUAGUAAUGUUGAUAUAUAUUGUUGGUAUAUGGCAGAAAAUCCCAGCUGCGAACAAAUACUUAUUCGACAACUGCAACCGGGUUGUACUCAUAUUGCCUGGUGAACAAUCUUUUGCCAUUGACAUUGCCAAUGACCAACACGGUUCAUUGUACUUUCGCUACAAUGGGUGGAAGUGUUUCGUCGACUCAGUGGGACUCCACGAAGGCGACACCAUUUUGUUUGAGUGUUGGGGGUUGUGUCACACCCACAGCCUGGGGAGGAUCAGAUGCCAGAUUUAUCAUACCGAUGGGCGACGACCACGGCUUUUCUUCGGCCGUAUACCGGCACCGGCGACACGGACCUGGCCUGCUGGGUUUGGGAGACCCCAAUCAGGUCCAGCUAGAGACCAGACCGAACCAGAAGAGGAAGAACAAGAAGGAGAAGGUUCGGGUACUCUAGCUUCGCCAUAUGUCGUCUAGUGGGGUGUUCACCAGGUUGCUUGAUUGUUUGUUUUUCUUUGUUUUGCUUUGUCUGACUAUGGGGGCCGUGUUGAUGACAUUUUUAACAAUUUUUUUAUUAUUAUGUUUAUAUAAACAUAUAACUAUGUUUUAUGAAUGUAUAUAAUUUCGUUAAUUAUAUUAUGAGUGUUAUUGUUGAGUAAUUUUUUUUGUUUGUUUUUUUUUAUUGCGAAAUGUUAUUGAGUUACUAGGGUGACUCUACCAUACUUUUGGGUGAUAUGUGAUCACUUUUGCACAGCCCAAUCAAGUUUGGACUUGUUCUUUUCGACCAGCCCAAUGGGCCUUCAACUUUGCCACUAGGUUUUGCCACAAUCGAAAGUUUUAUCAAAACCAAUCUAACCGGCAAAUAUAGUUACAUGGUUUGCCAAAUGUGUUUUCAAAUGCAUUCUAACCGGCAAAUUGCGAUUUAUCUGCUUUUUGCAAAAUUGUUAUCAAACGAUGGCAAAAUAAUGUUGCGGAUAAAUCGUUUGCCAAGACCCGGCAAACCUGACAUUUGCCGCUUCUUUGCCGAAUUUGCCAAAAAAACUUUCGAACCGGGAAUUCGUUAUCAAACACAGCCUAAUAGUUCAACACAUGAUCUCGAGAUCUUUGAUUUUGGCAAUGAGUCGAGAUCUCAACAAUUCCAAGAUUUGUACUAGGGUUGGCCCAAUAUAUAAAUGUAUACAGUAUACUAGAGCCAAGCCAAAAUAAUCAAUAAAAAUUAUAACUCACCAAAAGCUUGAGGAUUGAUCAAAUGAAUGUCACUUUCUUUCCUAAAAAGACACAAGCUCUCCUCCAUGUUGUUUGUCCUCAUGUAUCGGAAGAUAGCAUUAAAGAACCU
This 10896-nucleotide long non-coding RNA is filed under the name Aquilegia coerulea. RNAcentral describes it as "long non-coding RNA (ACOE_LNC000128)". Lineage: Eukaryota; Viridiplantae; Streptophyta; Magnoliopsida; Ranunculales; Ranunculaceae. The record is from RNAcentral.